UAAGCAAUCUAUACGGUGAAACUGCGAAUGGCUCAUUAAAUCAGUUAUCGUUUAUUUGAUAGUACCUUACUACUUGGAUAACCGUGGUAAUUCUAGAGCUAAUACAUGCUAAAAACCUCGACUUCGGAAGGGGUGUAUUUAUUAGAUAAAAAACCAAUGCCCUUCGGGGCUCCUUGGUGAUUCAUAAUAACUUAACGAAUCGCAUGGCCUUGUGCCGGCGAUGGUUCAUUCAAAUUUCUGCCCUAUCAACUUUCGAUGGUAGGAUAGUGGCCUACCAUGGUUUCAACGGGUAACGGGGAAUUAGGGUUCUAUUCCGGAGAGGGAGCCUGAGAAACGGCUACCACAUCCAAGGAAGGCAGCAGGCGCGCAAAUUACCCAAUCCCGACACGGGGAGGUAGUGACAAUAAAUACUGAUACAGGGCUCUUUUGGGUCUUGUAAUUGGAAUGAGUACAAUUUAAAUCCCUUAACGAGGAACAAUUGGAGGGCAAGUCUGGUGCCAGCAGCCGCGGUAAUUCCAGCUCCAAUAGCGUAUAUUAAAGUUGUUGCAGUUAAAAAGCUCGUAGUUGAACCUUGGGCCUGGUUGGUCGGUCCGCCUCACCGCGUGCACUGAUCCGACCGGGUCUUUCCUUCUGGGGAGCCGCAUGCCCUUCACUGGGUGUGUCGGGGAACCAGGACUUUUACUUUGAAAAAAUUAGAGUGUUCAAAGCAGGCCUAUGCUCGAAUACAUUAGCAUGGAAUAAUAGAAUAGGACGUGUGGUUCUAUUUUGUUGGUUUCUAGGACCGCCGUAAUGAUUAAUAGGGAUAGUCGGGGGCAUCAGUAUUCCGUUGUCAGAGGUGAAAUUCUUGGAUUUACGGAAGACUAACUACUGCGAAAGCAUUUGCCAAGGAUGUUUUCAUUAAUCAGUGAACGAAAGUUAGGGGAUCGAAGACGAUCAGAUACCGUCGUAGUCUUAACCAUAAACUAUGCCGACUA
This 974-nucleotide ribosomal RNA is filed under the name Helotiales sp. RNAcentral describes it as "SSU rRNA". It matches the Rfam family "Eukaryotic small subunit ribosomal RNA", at positions 66 to 1048 of the family's 1831-position model. Lineage: Eukaryota; Fungi; Ascomycota; Leotiomycetes; Helotiales. The record is from RNAcentral.